GGGGUUGUGGCUCAGUGGUAGAGUGCUCGCCUACCGUAAACGAGGCACUGAGUUCAAUCCUCAGCACCACA
This 71-nucleotide transfer RNA is filed under the name Marmota monax (woodchuck). Its description in RNAcentral is "tRNA.Gly". Lineage: Eukaryota; Metazoa; Chordata; Mammalia; Rodentia; Sciuridae. The record is from RNAcentral.